CCUGAGGCGGGGCCCAGGCGAUGAAGGGAAGACGGGUGGAGGCUAUGGGGCAUAUGCGUGUGUGCGUGUGCGUGUGUUUCCCCCACACAACCACCGUGGCUCCUUGCUAGACCCGGGCUUUCUCUUCCACGUCAUUUUUAGGGACUGAGGCCAGUUUUGCAUGAGAAAUCAGUGGCCUCCAGGGAAUGCCUCCAGGUGGCAGGAGGGGGCAACACAAGCUGCCAGGUCACUGUGCUUGGGAGUGAGGAGAGAAUCUCAAACCCUAGCCCCAGAUCCUACAGGACGCACGGUGGGCAGCAGAGACAGAGGAAAUGUCGCUAAUAGGGUGUUACCUGCAAGAUGGCACCCAUCCCGACCGGGAUACGUCGACGACCCCUUGAUGGUCUCUACCUGCAAAUUACCUUUGAGGGGCCACGAACUCAGCUGACCUGACGGCCCUUCUGGCGGGAAAGAGAAUCCCCUGUCCCGCAUCUCUCACCUUCAUCUAUUUCUAGAUUUUUGUUCUCAUGAAAAUGCUUUGGACAUCAGGAAACAUCAAGGUCUUAAAGUACAGGGGCUGGGCUGGGGCCGGAGCUGCAAGUGGGAGAUUCUGGGUUUCCCUGUUACUUUCACCGUCUAACGUCUUUCAGAGUCUGGGACCCAGACUGGGGCAAUCCUUUGGUGCCAGUUAGUGACCACUUGCGUCGGUCUGCUAGGGUCACCACAACAAGAUGUCACAGAAUGGGCGGCUUUCACAACAGAACUGUAUUUUCUCAUAAUCUUGGACACUAAAAGCGCGAGAUCAAGGUGUCGGCAGGUCUAGUUUCUUCUGAGGCCUCUCUCCUGGCUCGUAGAUGUCUUCCUUCUCUCCGUGUCCUCCCAUGGCCUUUUCUCUGGGCGUGCGUCCCUGGGGUCUCUCCUUCUUUUAUAAGGACACCAGUCAUAUUGGAUUAGGGCCCAUCCCAAUUACGUGGUGUGAUUUUAAUGAUCUCUUUUCCAGAUACAGUCUUAUUCUGAGGUAUUGGGGGUUAAGACUUCCACACGUGGAUUUUGAAGAGACGAACCCAGUCUACAACAAUACGUCAUGGGCAGUGGUGGUGGCUGGUGGGGGUGGUGGCGGUGAAUGCCCAGGCCUAUUUACGUCUCUGGAGAACGUCCGGCGUCUUUGAGGGGGUGGUCUGUUGUCUUGCCCCAAGCAGAGCCAGGACCUGCAAGGAGGAGGGGGAGAAGAAGGGGAUGCAGGAAGGUUGUGCCAGUGUUUUCUGCUUGGCGGCUCCCAGUGCAAGAGCUGGGAGCUCCUGGAGGUGGGACAGGAGUCUCAUGGGAGGUAUGAGGACCUGGUGGUUUCCAGACACCAGCCACGUCCAUCGUGCUUGGGCAGUGCGCUUCCUGAUGGCCCAGGCAAGUUUACGUCGUCCUUCAAGGCAGACCCUACACCAGGGAGCUCUCUGUCUCUGGAGCCACUCUGUCAGCACAGACGUUCUUGUGCUUCUUCCCUGCAAAGAGAUUAGGAAGGUUAUCCCUCCAGUGUUUGGAAUCUUAGCAUCUUUGGCUUGGCCCGAAGCCACCCAGACGGCCUGCAGUGGACAUCCCCACAAAGCCCAGGUCCGUGGCGUGUUUCUGUCAGUGGCGGGGCAUCGUGGGGUCGGGGCAGGGGCUGAGCUGGAGGGAUGGCCGCAUCUCGGAGUUUCCCCUGUUGUCUCCUCUUCGAGAAGGAGACCUUAUCAGCCCCUAACCAGAGAUAGCGUUUCCUCCGGGAGAAUUUCCCAGGGAGUGGAGGCAAGAAGGGGUUGGGAUUCGUCUAGACGUCUACUCUGCCAACCCUUAUCCAGACCAGCGCUGUUCCGGGAACCACUGCUAGGUGCCCACCGGAAACUCCUAGCAACCCUUCAAGACCCAGCUCGGACACGUUGCUUACUGUUCCGAUUAUGAAGCUUUCCCGGAUACCGCAGGCUCCGAAGACCCCAAGAACUCUGCCCUCGUCAUAGCACUUACGACAUACUCGUCAGACAGAUGCUGGGCAUGUAUUAAAUCAGUCACAGAGAGAGAGAGAGAGAGAGAGAGAGAGAGACAUGGGCAGAGGGAGAAGCAGGC
Long non-coding RNA from Canis lupus familiaris (dog), 2073 nucleotides. RefSeq lists it as uncharacterized. The record is from RefSeq and is a predicted model, not a curated record. The transcript is spliced from 4 exons. NCBI's taxonomy places the organism in Eukaryota, Metazoa, Chordata, Mammalia, Carnivora, Canidae.